This 775-nucleotide ribosomal RNA is filed under the name uncultured Neocallimastigales. Its description in RNAcentral is "partial large subunit ribosomal RNA". It matches the Rfam family "Eukaryotic large subunit ribosomal RNA", at positions 20 to 616 of the family's 3401-position model. Lineage: Eukaryota; Fungi; Neocallimastigomycota; Neocallimastigomycetes; Neocallimastigales. The record is from RNAcentral.
UACUAGAGUAGCACUCGCAUAUCAAUAAGCGGAGGAAAAGAAACUAACAAGGAUUCCCCUAGUAACGGCGAGUGAAGCGGGAAGAGCUCAAAUUUGAAAUCUUAAAGGGUUUCCCUUUACGAAUUGUAGUUUAAAGAAGUGUUUUCUGUUGAGGUUUUGGUAAAAGUUCUUUGGAAUAGGACAUCAUAGAGGGUGAGAAUCCCGUAUUUGACCUUUACUUUCAACUUUGUGAUACACUUUCAAAGAGUCGGAUUGUUUGGGAAUGCAGUCCAAAAUGGGUGGUAAAUUUCAUCUAAAGCUAAAUAUUGGCGAGAGACCGAUAGCGAACAAGUACCGUGAGGGAAAGAUGAAAAGGACUUUGAAAAGAGAGUUAAACAGUACGUGAAAUUGUCAAAAGGGAAGCGUUUGACACCAGUGUUGUUUUUCUGAAAAUCAAUUAAAGAACUGUUUAUGCUAAGCUGUUUAGACUUUAUCAGCUAUCUGUUUAGUUUUGAGCUUUUCUUUAAUGCACUUUUCAGUUAACAAGUCAACAUCAAUUUCUUUUGCUGUAAAAAAGCUUGAGGAAGGUGGCUUGAGAUUCGUCUUAAGUGUUUAUAGCCUCUUGCCUAUGCAGUCGGAGAGAUUGAGGUCAUGCAGCGUAGAUCCUUCGGGGCUAAAUGCAUUUGUGCUAAGUUAUAGCAUUUUAUAGACAACUUGUUGACUAUGAUUUGUCUUGUAGCUUACUCGCUUAUGUUAUUUUACCUACGCUUAGGAUGUUGAGCGCAUGUCUCUCUCU